GAAUAUUGGACAAUGGGCGCAAGCCUGAUCCAGCCACGCCGCGUGAGUGAUGAAGGCCUUCGGGUCGUAAAGCUCUGUGGGGAGGGACGAACCGCUGUUGGUUCAUAGCCAACAGCAUGACGGUACCUCCUUAGCAAGCACCGGCUAACUUCGUGCCAGCAGCCGCGGUAAUACGAAGGGUGCAAACGUUGCUCGGAAUUAUUGGGCGUAAAGCGCACGUAGGCGGCUUUGCAAGUCGGAUGUGAAAUCCCUCGGCUUAACCAAGGAAGUGCAUCCGAAACUGCAGAGCUUGAGUACUUAAGAGGAUCGCGGAAUUCCCGGUGUAGAGGUGAAAUUCGUAGAUAUUCGGAGGAACACCAGUGGCGAAGGCGGCUCACUGGUCCAUUACUGACGCUGAGGUGCGAAAGCGUGGGGAGCAAAC
This 421-nucleotide ribosomal RNA is filed under the name uncultured bacterium. RNAcentral's name for it is "bacterial SSU rRNA". It matches the Rfam family "Bacterial small subunit ribosomal RNA", at positions 359 to 773 of the family's 1533-position model. The record is from RNAcentral.